CAGCCGUAAACUAUGCUCGCUAGGUGUCAGGCAUGGCGCGACCGUGUCUGGUGCCGCAGGGAAGCCGUGAAGCGAGCCACCUGGGAAGUACGGCCGCAAGGCUGAACUUAAGGAUUGGCGGGGAGCACAACAACGGGUGGAGCCUGCGGUUUAAUGGACUCAACGCCGGACAACUCACCGGGAACGACAGCAAUAUGUAGGCCAGGCUGAAGACCUUGCCUGAAUCGCUGAGAGGAGGUGCAUGGCGUAGACGUCU
RNAcentral lists this ribosomal RNA (256 nucleotides) under uncultured archaeon. RNAcentral describes it as "partial 16S ribosomal RNA". It matches the Rfam family "Archaeal small subunit ribosomal RNA", at positions 748 to 1009 of the family's 1478-position model. The record is from RNAcentral.